GACGAACGCUGGCGGCGUGCUUAACACAUGCAAGUCGAACGGAAAGGCCCUGCUUUUGUGUGGUGCUCGAGUGGCGAACGGGUGAGUAACACGUGUGUAACCUGCCCUUGACUUUGUGAUAACUUCAGGAAACUGGGGCUAAUACCGGAUAGGAGCUCCUGCUGCAUGGUGGGGGUUGGAAAGUUUCGGCGGUUGGGGCUGGACUCGCGGCUUAUGAGCUUGUUGGUGAGGUAGUGGCUUACCAAGGCUUUGACGGGUAGCCGGCCUGAGAGGGUGAACGGGCACAUUAGGACUGAGGUACGGCGCAGACUCCUAUGGGCGGCAGCAGUGGGGAGUAUGGCGCAAUGGGCGGAAGCCUGAUGCAGCAACGCCGGGUGCGGGAUGACGGCCUUCGGGGUGUAAACAGCUUUCGACUGUGACGAAGCGUGAGUGACGGUAAUGAGUAAAGAAGCACCGGCUAACUACGUG
Molecule: ribosomal RNA, 468 nt
Filed under: uncultured bacterium
Lineage: Bacteria
Description: partial 16S ribosomal RNA
Rfam family: Bacterial small subunit ribosomal RNA
Source: RNAcentral